GUCAAUAGAGGUGCAUCAAAGCUGGGACCGAGAGACUGAAAAACAGAUUCAAUCUCAAGGCCAUUAGACUGCUAAACAGCCAUCUCCAGCACAUCAGAGGCUGCUGCCUAUAGACAUAGAUUAGGAAUCACUGGCCACUUUAAGGAAAUGAAACACUAGCCACUUUAAUAAUGUCUCCAUAUCUUGCAUUACUCAUCUCAUAUGUAUAAACUGUACUCUAUACUAUUCUACAGUAUCUUAGUAACUUUAAUUGUGUGUAUAUUUUGCAUCACCCAUCUCAUAUGUAUAUACUGUACUCUAUACUAUGCCACUGUAUCUUAGUCCAAUGCCGCUCUGACCAUAUAUGUAUAUAUAUAUUCUUAAUCCAUUCCUAACUUAGAUUUACGUGUAUUUUGGGUAUAUGUUGUGAAACUGUUGGAUAUUACUUGUCAGAUAUUACUGCACUGUCGGAGCUAGAAGCAUUUCGCAACACCCGCAAUAACAUCUGCUAAACACGUGUAUGUGACCAAUACAUUUUAUUUUAUUUUAUUUGAGCUACCUUGGAAGCCAACUCUCUAACGUUUAACCAUAAAGCCAAGGGGUUUCAUUUUACUAAGAGCAUUGUACCUAAGUCGAGGAGGGGUUUGGCAGAGGAGGAAAACUUGGAAGACCAGCAUGACUGGGUGGCAGAAGAGUGGGUAGAGGUAGGGUGAGAACAGACAGGGAAGACCCGCACAGGGUAAUCUUGAGGUCAGUGAUUGAGGAGGAGGAGCCAAGAGGGGUCAGGCUCUGAACCAAAUAAUAGCCAAUAUUGUAAACCGCUAACCUCAUACUUUGAGAUACAAUCUGAUUGAAAUAAAUAUUUGAUAACUUUUACUGUCAUUUUUUGUGCAGGUAAAAUUAAUGAGAGGCACCUGAAACCGUUUCUCUCUCUCCAUCCCUCUUUCCAUCCAGGUCCACUGACACUAAUAUGUGCUUGUGAAGUUAUUCUCUGCUCAGCUGACAGAUACAGGAGUCCAUUCCAUUCCAAAUAGGUUACCUUGGCUCUCCUCUAUGCACAGCACUCUGGGGAUUCCUGCAGUUGUUCUCAGAAGACAGGUCAGUGUGUGUAGAGAGAACACGUUUGACCAGGUAGUCAGGCUUCUACUUCAUCGGCCUGGACCAGUACACCAAAGAGGCGGAGGACGCCAAGUUUGGACCAAUUAUGCUGAUGCCCCACUGUAAGAACCUGGAGAUCUGUACUGGUUCUGAGGGAGGUGACGUGGCCACAAACAGUGCCUGAGACAUUCCGGCGCCCGGGUCACCUUCCGGCGACUGGGACACCUUCUAGUGCUACUGUUGACUAGAGCAGGGGGUUCCCAAACUUUUUCACUUGGGGCCCCCCUUCCAGCAUUGGGGAACAUCCCACUCCCGCAGGCGUGCACACACACCAUGUCUAUUUCUAUGGACACAAGCACUGUUCAUGACACAAACUGUUCACACCCUUCUUGUUGUUGGAGAGAAUUUUGCAGCUGACAUGGGCUAGUUCAUCUGGACACUUCUGACAAGUUAUAAAUAGCUCUCUAAGGUGUCGUCCAUCUUCCUUAUUAUCCCCUUGGUAUUUAUAUCUGUGUUCUCUGUUUGUCUGUUGCC
This 1611-nucleotide long non-coding RNA is filed under the name Salmo salar (Atlantic salmon). RNAcentral describes it as "lncRNA (ENSSSAG00000110943.1, ENSSSAG00075054771.1)". The record is from RNAcentral. Lineage: Eukaryota; Metazoa; Chordata; Actinopteri; Salmoniformes; Salmonidae.